RNAcentral lists this ribosomal RNA (2789 nucleotides) under Salmonella enterica subsp. enterica serovar Enteritidis. RNAcentral describes it as "partial 23S ribosomal RNA". It matches the Rfam family "Bacterial large subunit ribosomal RNA". The record is from RNAcentral. Lineage: Bacteria; Pseudomonadati; Pseudomonadota; Gammaproteobacteria; Enterobacterales; Enterobacteriaceae.
GGGUUGUGAGGUUAAGCGACUAAGCGUACACGGUGGAUGCCCUGGCAGUCAGAGGCGAUGAAGGGCGUGCUAAUCUGCGAUAAGCGCCGGUAAGGUGAUAUGAACCGUUAUAACCGGCGAUACCCGAAUGGGGAAACCCAGUGUGAUUCGUCACACUAUCAUUAACUGAAUCCAUAGGUUAAUGAGGCGAACCGGGGGAACUGAAACAUCUAAGUACCCCGAGGAAAAGAAAUCAACCGAGAUUCCCCCAGUAGCGGCGAGCGAACGGGGAGGAGCCCAGAGCCUGAAUCAGCAUGUGUGUUAGUGGAAGCGUCUGGAAAGGCGCGCGAUACAGGGUGACAGCCCCGUACACAAAAGCGCAUGUGCUGUGAGCUCGAUGAGUAGGGCGGGACACGUGGUAUCCUGUCUGAAUAUGGGGGGACCAUCCUCCAAGGCUAAAUACUCCUGACUGACCGAUAGUGAACCAGUACCGUGAGGGAAAGGCGAAAAGAACCCCGGCGAGGGGAGUGAAAAAGAACCUGAAACCGUGUACGUACAAGCAGUGGGAGCACAGGUUUACCUGUGUGACUGCGUACCUUUUGUAUAAUGGGUCAGCGACUUAUAUUCUGUAGCAAGGUUAACCGAAUAGGGGAGCCGGAGGGAAACCGAGUCUUAAUUGGGCGUUAAGUUGCAGGGUAUAGACCCGAAACCCGGUGAUCUAGCCAUGGGCAGGUUGAAGGUUGGGUAACACUAACUGGAGGACCGAACCGACUAAUGUUGAAAAAUUAGCGGAUGACCUGUGGCUGGGGGUGAAAGGCCAAUCAAACCGGGAGAUAGCUGGUUCUCCCCGAAAGCUAUUUAGGUAGCGCCUCGUGAAUUCAUCUCCGGGGGUAGAGCACUGUUUCGGCUAGGGGGCCAUCCCGGCUUACCAACCCGAUGCAAACUGCGAAUACCGGAGAAUGUUAUCACGGGAGACACACGGCGGGUGCUAACGUCCGUCGUGAAGAGGGAAACAACCCAGACCGCCAGCUAAGGUCCCAAAGUCAUGGUUAAGUGGGAAACGAUGUGGGAAGGCCCAGACAGCCAGGAUGUUGGCUUAGAAGCAGCCAUCAUUUAAAGAAAGCGUAAUAGCUCACUGGUCGAGUCGGCCUGCGCGGAAGAUGUAACGGGGCUAAACCAUGCACCGAAGCUGCGGCAGCGACACUGUGUGUUGUUGGGUAGGGGAGCGUUCUGUAAGCCUGUGAAGGUGUGUCGUGAGGCAUGCUGGAGGUAUCAGAAGUGCGAAUGCUGACAUAAGUAACGAUAAAGCGGGUGAAAAGCCCGCUCGCCGGAAGACCAAGGGUUCCUGUCCAACGUUAAUCGGGGCAGGGUGAGUCGACCCCUAAGGCGAGGCCGAAAGGCGUAGUCGAUGGGAAACGGGUUAAUAUUCCCGUACUUGGUGUUACUGCGAAGGGGGGACGGAGAAGGCUAUGUUGGCCGGGCGACGGUUGUCCCGGUUUAAGCGUGUAGGUGUGUGUUCCAGGUAAAUCCGGUUCACUUUAACACUGAGGCGUGACGACGAGGCACUACGGUGCUGAAGCAACAAAUGCCCUGCUUCCAGGAAAAGCCUCUAAGCAUCAGGUAACAUCAAAUCGUACCCCAAACCGACACAGGUGGUCAGGUAGAGAAUACCAAGGCGCUUGAGAGAACUCGGGUGAAGGAACUAGGCAAAAUGGUGCCGUAACUUCGGGAGAAGGCACGCUGACACGUAGGUGAAGUGAUUUACUCAUGGAGCUGAAGUCAGUCGAAGAUACCAGCUGGCUGCAACUGUUUAUUAAAAACACAGCACUGUGCAAACACGAAAGUGGACGUAUACGGUGUGACGCCUGCCCGGUGCCGGAAGGUUAAUUGAUGGGGUCAGCGCAAGCGAAGCUCCUGAUCGAAGCCCCGGUAAACGGCGGCCGUAACUAUAACGGUCCUAAGGUAGCGAAAUUCCUUGUCGGGUAAGUUCCGACCUGCACGAAUGGCGUAAUGAUGGCCAGGCUGUCUCCACCCGAGACUCAGUGAAAUUGAACUCGCUGUGAAGAUGCAGUGUACCCGCGGCAAGACGGAAAGACCCCGUGAACCUUUACUAUAGCUUGACACUGAACAUUGAGCCUUGAUGUGUAGGAUAGGUGGGAGGCUUUGAAGUGUGGACGCCAGUCUGCAUGGAGCCGACCUUGAAAUACCACCCUUUAAUGUUUGAUGUUCUAACGUGGACCCGUUACCCGGGUUGCGGACAGUGUCUGGUGGGUAGUUUGACUGGGGCGGUCUCCUCCUAAAGAGUAACGGAGGAGCACGAAGGUUGGCUAAUCCUGGUCGGACAUCAGGAGGUUAGUGCAAUGGCAUAAGCCAGCUUGACUGCGAGCGUGACGGCGCGAGCAGGUGCGAAAGCAGGUCAUAGUGAUCCGGUGGUUCUGAAUGGAAGGGCCAUCGCUCAACGGAUAAAAGGUACUCCGGGGAUAACAGGCUGAUACCGCCCAAGAGUUCAUAUCGACGGCGGUGUUUGGCACCUCGAUGUCGGCUCAUCACAUCCUGGGGCUGAAGUAGGUCCCAAGGGUAUGGCUGUUCGCCAUUUAAAGUGGUACGCGAGCUGGGUUUAGAACGUCGUGAGACAGUUCGGUCCCUAUCUGCCGUGGGCGCUGGAGAACUGAGGGGGGCUGCUCCUAGUACGAGAGGACCGGAGUGGACGCAUCACUGGUGUUCGGGUUGUCAUGCCAAUGGCACUGCCCGGUAGCUAAAUGCGGAAGAGAUAAGUGCUGAAAGCAUCUAAGCACGAAACUUGCCCCGAG